This is a long non-coding RNA of Acinonyx jubatus (cheetah), 1767 nucleotides long. RefSeq lists it as uncharacterized. The transcript has 9 exons. NCBI's taxonomy places the organism in Eukaryota, Metazoa, Chordata, Mammalia, Carnivora, Felidae. The record is from RefSeq and is a predicted model, not a curated record.
CCUGCAACACCUGGCCGCCGCCAUCUUUGCUCGGGGUUUGCGACCCAGAGGUUAAUUUCAGGAAAUGUCCCUGCCCUCUUUGCCGUAAGGACCAAUGGAAAGCGGAAUUUGAGAAGGAGGCCGAUUCUCAGAGGGCCUGAGCCUCCUCGUGAGUAAAAUGGUUCACAAGUUCCUGUUUGCCAAGGGCACGUGAAAGAGAUAAUAAGAGGCCUGGGGAUCUGAAGCUGGAAAGGAUCAAGAGGGCAGCUCGUGGAACAGAGGCCCCUUCUAUCUCAGUCUUAGAAAUUUCUCCCUAUGCUCAGACACCCUCCAGGAAGAGAUAUUUUUGUGCAGAGUUGAGACCAGCUGGAUCCUGGGCUGCAGACCAUAUGCCAUUUACAGCAGAAACCUCUUUCCCCUCUGGUCCUGCUUACCAUUACUCCCAUCUUCUGAUUUCCUGGAUUUUGGCACCUCAGUACAAUUUUUACAUCUGCUUCUUAACUGGGUUGGUGACCCUCCCUUUCCAAGCUUCUUGUACAUUGACUCUGCACACACUUCUGGGAUCUGUUCAUUUCUUUGGAUUUCAUGACAUCUAUCCCCAUCUCUUAACCUACUAUUGUUCCAGUUUUUGUACCGAUACAAUGACUAAACAGACUUGCCCAUCACCACUGAAUCACAGCCAAACAAAGGGUAGUAAUGAUUAUUUUGUAAUACCACAGUCUAUGUAUAGUCCUUGAAUCAGAGGUGGGAAGAAACAAGAAUUUUGAUGUGCUUGGUACUCUUGCCCAAGCACUGAAGCACUUUACAAGGGAACAAAGGUUUGUGCUUUUGAAAUGACCUCACAGUGGAUCUAACAAUGUACCAGUUAAAUCUUAUUCCAGAAUGCAAUUAUUUCAUUAUUAAAAUGAAGCACAGAGAGUUAGCUGCUGUUAGCAGCUGAAAGAAUAGCAUCACUGAUUUGGAGAACUUAGAGAAUUCUUCAGACAUCCACCAAAAAAUCAGAAGGCCAGCACCAUGAGCAAUGAGGUCACGAUCUUUAAGAUAAGAAAAUCUAUCAAUUCCAAAUGUCCACAUUAGUCAUGCAUAAAGGCACCAACAUUUCACAGAAAACAAACAAAUCUAUCCCAACGAACCCUUGCUGUUUAUCACAUUCACCAGAGAGGCUAGAAAAAGUCGAGCUGGACAGAGCCCUGUUGUCCAGAGCACAAAUCGAUUCCAUAUUGUAUGACAUUCCGUCUGGUGAUUUUUUGGAUCACCUCCCAAGGAAGCUACUUGGACUGGAAAGCCUAGUCCCACUGUCGAAACCCUGGUGAAAAGAAAUGUAGACACCCACCCCAGAGCCUCUUCCAGCAGUGCCACAGCAAAAUCCGUUAAAGCUUUAUUACCAUUAAUUGUAGGAGAGAGGGGACCUUGACCACUGUCCCAGAGCCUUGGAUAAAGUACCAUAUCCAUCCCCAAUGUGGUCUGGGAAGAUACCCGAAACAAAACAGGACUGGAAAUGCCAAGUGCACAUUUCACAAGUGAGUCAAGACACAAAAUGACAGGCACUCACACUGCAUUGGGGAAGAUAGGUAAUAACCAGUAUCCAGGGCUAUCAUCACACACUGACUUGAGUCUAGCACUGAACACUGUGCUAAAAGUUGUGCGUACAUCAUGGAACAGAACCUUUUCAACAACCUGCAAGGAACGUACUACUAUCUCAAUUAACAAAAGAGAAGACUGAGGUCAAAAGAAUUUGAGUAAUUUAUCUGUCAUCACCCAGAUAAUAAAUAGUUGAGCUGAUUCAAA